This 506-nucleotide ribosomal RNA is filed under the name uncultured bacterium. RNAcentral describes it as "partial 16S ribosomal RNA". It matches the Rfam family "Bacterial small subunit ribosomal RNA", at positions 28 to 507 of the family's 1533-position model. The record is from RNAcentral.
GACGAACGCUGGCGGCGUGCUUAACACAUGCAAGUCGAACGGUGAAGGGACUGGUUUUGCUGGUCCUGGAUGAGUGGCGAACGGGUGAGUAACACGUGGGUAACCUGCCCCCUUCUUCUGGAUAACCGCAUGAAAGUGUGGCUAAUACGGGAUAUUCUGGGUCUGUCGCAUGGUGGGCCUGGGAAAGAUUGCGCCUUUUUUGGUGUUUUUGGUGGGGGAUGGGCUCGCGGCCUAUCAGCUUGUUGGUGGGGUGAUGGCCUACCAAGGCGGUGACGGGUAGCCGGCCUGAGAGGGUGGACGGUCACACUGGGACUGAGACACGGCCCAGACUCCUACGGGAGGCAGCAGUGGGGAAUAUUGCACAAUGGGCGCAAGCCUGAUGCAGCGACGCCGCGUGAGGGAUGGAGGCCUUCGGGUUGUGAACCUCUUUCGCCAGUGAAGCAGGCCUGCCUCUUUUUGUGGGUGGGUUGACGGUAGCUGGAUAAGAAGCGCCGGCUAACUACGUG